Long non-coding RNA from Capsicum annuum, 534 nucleotides. RefSeq lists it as uncharacterized. NCBI's taxonomy places the organism in Eukaryota, Viridiplantae, Streptophyta, Magnoliopsida, Solanales, Solanaceae. The record is from RefSeq and is a predicted model, not a curated record. The transcript has 3 exons.
CACUAUGCUACUACUAAAAACUUUUUUAAACAAUAGGAAACUCUAAUUCUGUCAACUCCAAAUAAAAAAUAAGAUUCUAAUAACCUUAUUUCAUUCUCUCGUGCCGGUCGAUUUCUUUAGCAGUCGAGAGAAGAAAAAAUCUCUUCAAUUGCAGUCUGUGAUUCUUUAUCAAGUAGUCGAUUUAACUCAGAUCCAAUUUUGGAAGUCUCUACCUUUGCAUGUCAGCUCAAACUCACGAAGUUGAGAUCAUUGAAUAAGCUUUUCAUCGAUACCAAUUUCAUUGAAAUCUGAAUUCGAACGAGGGAGUUAUAGCUAUUUUACUCGGCGAUAUCGGAUCACCCAGGUCUGACGAUCGACCUGGCGGUCUGGGAGGAGUAUUUAGUACCAAGCAAAAAAUGUGGUAUUUCUUCAAAACUACGUGCCACCGUAGGAUUGAUAUUGAUAAUUCUGGGCCAGAGGCCGAGUAUGGGAUUAUGAUAACGAGAUUGAGGUUGUACUCCCUGGAAAGAGUAUGACACCCCCGGGGGUUCUCUU